This 231-nucleotide ribosomal RNA is filed under the name uncultured bacterium. RNAcentral's name for it is "partial 16S ribosomal RNA". It matches the Rfam family "Bacterial small subunit ribosomal RNA", at positions 104 to 334 of the family's 1533-position model. The record is from RNAcentral.
CGGGGUGAGUAACGCGUGGAUAACCUGCCUCACACAGGGGAUAACAGUUAGAAAUGACUGCUAAUACCGCAUAAGCGCACGGUACCGCAUGGUACAGUGUGAAAAACUCCGGUGGUGUGAGAUGGAUCCGCGUCUGAUUAGGUAGUUGGUGAGGUAACGGCCCACCAAGCCGACGAUCAGUAGCCGACCUGAGAGGGUGAUCGGCCACAUUGGGACUGAGACACGGCCCAA